GGGGAAUAUUGCACAAUGGAGGAAACUCUGAUGCAGCGAUGCCGCGUGAGGGAAGAAGGUUUUAGGAUUGUAAACCUCUGUCUUCAGGGACGAAAAAAGACGGUACCUGAGGAGGAAGCUCCGGCUAACUACGUGCCAGCAGCCGCGGUAAUACGUAGGGAGCGAGCGUUGUCCGGAAUUACUGGGUGUAAAGGGAGCGUAGGCGGGAUCGCAAGUCAGAUGUGAAAACUAUGGGCUUAACCCAUAAACUGCAUUUGAAACUGUGGUUCUUGAGUGAAGUAGAGGUAAGCGGAAUUCCUAGUGUAGCGGUGAAAUGCGUAGAUAUUAGGAGGAACAUCAGUGGCGAAGGCGGCUUACUGGGCUUUAACUGACGCUGAGGCUCGAAAGUGUGGGUAGCAAACAGGAUUAGAUACCCUGGUAGUCCACACCGUAAACGAUGAUUACUAGGUGUUGGAGGAUUGACCCCUUCAGUGCCGCAGUUAACACAAUAAGUAAUCCACCUGGGGAGUACGACCGCAAGGUUGAAACUCAAAGGAAUUGACGGGGGCCCGCACAAGCAGUGGAGUAUGUGGUUUAAUUCGACGCAACGCGAAGAACCUUACCAAGUCUUGACAUCCUGCGACGCGCAUAGAAAUAUGUGUUUCCUUCGGGACGCAGAGACAGGUGGUGCAUGGUUGUCGUCAGCUCGUGUCGUGAGAUGUUGGGUUAAGUCCCGCAACGAGCGCAACCCUUACUGUCAGUUACUACGCAAGAGGACUCUGGCGAGACUGCCGUUGACAAAACGGAGGAAGGUGGGGAUGACGUCAAAUCAUCAUGCCCUUUAUGACCUGGGCUACACACGUACUACAAUGGCGUUAAACAAAGAGAAGCAAGACCGCGAGGUGGAGCAAAACUCAAAAACAACGUCUCAGUUCAGAUUGCAGGCUGCAACUCGCCUGUAUGAAGUCGGAAUUGCUAGUAAUCGUGGAUCAGCAUGCCACGGUGAAUACGUUCCCG
This 996-nucleotide ribosomal RNA is filed under the name uncultured bacterium. RNAcentral's name for it is "bacterial SSU rRNA". It matches the Rfam family "Bacterial small subunit ribosomal RNA", at positions 356 to 1376 of the family's 1533-position model. The record is from RNAcentral.